AUAGACCUAUUGCAACAGUCCCAAAACCGUUCCAAUAGAGAAUAAAAUAGACCUAUUGCAACGGUUUAUUGGAUUUAAUGGGGGCUAUUGCAACGGUUAUUGAACUAAAGAUGCACCCUUUUAUUUAGUUGUUAAUUAUUUAUCUAAACAAAAACUAAUGCGCUAAAAUUUAUAUAAAUCACGAAAGGAUACUAUUAUUCAUAAACAAAAGCAUCAUCCAGAAUAUCCAGAGAGUAACAUACAUAGGUUCGCACAUUAAUUAGAAGUUGCAAAACAAAACAAAAAUUCCAAAGUAUCUAAACAAACUAAUGUUUCAUCAACAAUCCCACGAGUCUAAAUAUCACCCUCACUGCUUCAAUAUACGCUUUAGCUUAUUUGAUCCACCUACAAAUGAUGACAAAUAAAUGUUAGCAAAAAUUUUGAAUGGUAAAAAGUAAUCAUUAAGUUUGAAUUAGUCAGUAAUGUGCUGCUAAAUUUAUCAAAAGUUACAAAUCAUGCCACAUAAGUCUACCCAUUCAGAGCACUUUGUUCCAGAACAAUUAUGCACUGUGAAUGGAGCUCAGAAGAGGACUAAAUAUUCAAACAUACAGAUGUCAAUGAUUCAACAUCAAUCCUAUAAACCAGUACACGCUAAAGAAUCAAAGCGAUGACCUUCUUCAAAGUCAAAACUAUCUAUAAGAUAUCUAGACCGUCUGACCUUGUCUACUUUUCAUAAUAAGUCAUGUUGAUCAGUGGCGGACCCAGGAUUUUGUGCAAGCGGGUUCAAUCUUAGAAGUAUAUAAAUUUAGUCGUAAAAUAGUAGCUGUCAAGUGGGUUCAAAUAAAAUAUUUAUGUAAAAUUUACAUCGUUUUAAUCCUAAUUUAUACAUAUACACAGUAUUAUUUUUUGUGAAGCGGGUUCAGUUGAACCCGCUAGCCACCACUUGGGUCCGCCACUGAUGUUGACAUCUUCAUGUAUAUGUCAACAACUUUAUGCCUAAUAUAAUAUACUUAUAAUAUGUUUCUAUAAUUAUACAAUGGAUAAAUACUGAUGUUCACCCUGAAAUAGCUUAUGAAACAAACAUAAGAUGAAGGGAAUCUGUUACUAUAAAAAAGAAUCACCUAAUAAUAAAAUUUUGACAAGAAGCAUCUGUUCUGUUUGGUGGGUGCUAAAAAACUUUGCCUGCAAACUAUAUUUCUAUAAGAUAAUCUGAAUUGAGGAUUAGAAAUUCCUUAAGAAGCUACAAUUACAUAAUACAUGUAAGAGACAAACUACUGAUCAAAAACUUUAAGAAGUCCUUUUAACUUACAUGCUCCAGCACAGUUUCUUCCGACCUUACUCUGGAAUUUAUGAAAAUCUUUGGAAAAGGGCAAAAACAUCAAGUGACAGAAAGUUACAUCCUAGUAAAUAGGAUUAGAUGACACUUUAUAUAACCUUAAAUUAAUUGGCAAGAUGCAUCAACACAUUUCAAUGUCAAAUUUAUAACAUACGAUAAAAGAUAACUUUUACCAGUUCUCCAUAAAAUAACUCCAAAAUAUGAUCCAGUCUUGCUUGAUGUCUCACGAGGAAAGGCGCAGAUGGUUUGUGUACUAUUUUUUAGCACCCUGUGUAACACCAUAGAAGUACAUCACUUUCCAAAAAUUCAUUCUCUGUGAAAUGGUAAGUAUAAACUUCAAGCUAAAACAAAAUCAUUAACUCUAAUUAAGUAGUUCAGCAGAAUUCACCUCAAAAGCAACUGCAUAUUUUAACUUUAAAUGAGUGCCAGCCAUUGGCUUUUACCCAUCGCUCUUACUAUUCAGGACAUAGUGAAAUAGUGAAUUCCCCUGUCUUUCUCAUCUUCUGUCUUUUCCAACAUAGCAAUAGAACCGAAAUGGAUUUCACUCAACAGUUAAGAAUGACAGAGAAGUAUACAAUCAUUUGUUCUGAAGGCUGCCAUUUUUUUGUUUCAAUCCAACUGGAUUCAAUGCUGCAAAUAUUCUUCAAUGGUUGUAGCUUCCUAUAAUAAAAAGUAUGUUAUAUAAAUUAAGUUUUCUCUAAAAAGAAUGUCUAGCCAAAAAAGUUAAGAAACAUAACUUACUCCUCAAUGCUAUCAUACAACCCACCAAACCUUUGCACUGGUGGAGGAUUUAUCUUGCGAUGUUGUGCAUCACCUUGACAUUAUAAACAAAAUGCAAGGCACAACAAAAAAAUUAUUGACCAAUAAAAUAAGAAUCAUUAAAAUUUGAUUUCCUGUAAUUACAUACAUGAUUUCCUGUUAUUAAAUUCAACUAUCUAAAGCAACAUUGAAGAGCAUGGCAGAAAAGCCUGCACUGAUAGAGCCCUUAUUGCACAAGGAUAGAAACAACUUGUCCGUCAAAGGAUAAGAGUGACCGCCAAGUUGCACCAGUAAUUAAUUCAUAGAUAAAUUGCUAAAAAGUACUAUAAAAAUAGUUCUGGAUAAACAAAGUCCAAACACAUUUGUACAUGUAAACAAACUGCAAGGAAUGAUUUACCAUGGUGAUUAGCUCAAAUCCUGGAUGAUUGAUCCAUUGCUUUAGAAUACCCUUUGAUUCAGUGGAUAAUUAUAUACAACAACCUGCACGUGGUAUAAAACUUCAUGUAAUUGUACUCAUAUUUCAUAAACAAGAAUGCAGUAGUUGCAUACAUACAACAUAACCCAUUAGAUGUCCUUUUAGACUAAUUAAAGAACAAAAUAUUCUCAGAUGUUGCAAAGUAUUUACUUGAAAAGCUUCAUGCAAUGCAUAAAAUUAGUCAUCCAAGAUCCAAAGAAUAUAAUCAUCAAACCCCAUAAAAGGGGAAUAACACGAAAUAGAAAAAAUGCAUAGCGUUGUACCGGGCACUUCACGAUCCUAAGCACAUAAUCCAUCUAAUAACAAAAAUACAGACAACUCCAAUCAUCCUUAAAGAUAAAAGAUCUUCCAAAUACUACCUACUACAAAUAUACAACCUCUCAGUAGAGAUCCUUCUUUUCAAAAGCCCGCACUCAUUUCCUCCACAACAACGACUCUUAAAAGCAUAAGAUUUGCGAUCGAACCUCGAAAACAGAGAAACCCACAUAACAAUUGAACCAAAAUAUAACCCAGUACUUGUAAUAAUACUUUAAUCCAAAUUCUAAAGGCAUAUCGUAAAUAAUUUCGGGUACGAACUCUACAUUAGAAAGUAAAUAAAGACGAUUUAGAGCAAAGAAGAGUAUGAUAAAGUACAGACCUUUAUUGUUCGGAUUGCGCGAAAUUAUUUUGUAGAGAUGAUGUUGACGAGAGGGAAUUGAGCCCUGCUAUGAAGAAGAAAGGAAAUUAAGCUCUAAUUUCUGAGUUGGAUAGAGGGAUCUAAUUGUACGCUUUGGAAAAAAGGGGGAAAAGUGAAUUGUUAUAAGAAAAAUUAAAUUAUGGUAAAUGUCUACCCUUUUUUAAAGAAAAUCUCUUUC
This 3403-nucleotide long non-coding RNA is filed under the name Nicotiana tabacum (common tobacco). RNAcentral's name for it is "long non-coding RNA (NTAB_LNC007086)". The record is from RNAcentral. Lineage: Eukaryota; Viridiplantae; Streptophyta; Magnoliopsida; Solanales; Solanaceae.